This 250-nucleotide ribosomal RNA is filed under the name uncultured bacterium. RNAcentral describes it as "partial 16S ribosomal RNA". It matches the Rfam family "Bacterial small subunit ribosomal RNA", at positions 29 to 271 of the family's 1533-position model. The record is from RNAcentral.
AACGAACGCUGGCGGCGCGCCUAAUACAUGCAAGUCGAACGAGAAGGUGUAGCAAUACACUUGUACAGUGGCGAACGGGUGAGGAAUGCAUGGGCAACCUACCCUCGAGUGGGAACAACCAGCCGAAAGGUUGGCUAAUACCGCGUACGCUUCCGGGUCUCCGGAUCCGGAAGGAAAGUCACACCGUGGGUGUGACGCUCAAGGAUGGGCUCAUGUCCUAUCAGCUUGUUGGGAGGUAACGGCUCACCAA